Molecule: long non-coding RNA, 2120 nt
Organism: Sceloporus undulatus (fence lizard)
Lineage: Eukaryota; Metazoa; Chordata; Lepidosauria; Squamata; Phrynosomatidae
Exons: 4
Source: RefSeq, a predicted model, not a curated record
CGAACAGCCCUUACUGACAAGAAGUUCUUCCUAAGGUUGAGGUGGAAUCUCUUUUACUGUAGUUUGCAUCCAUUACUCUAGUUCCUAGUCUCAGGAGCAACAUAAAACAAGCAAAAACAUCCAUCACAAAUGAUGGGUAGUAAAUUGAGGCAAGGAAGACCAUAGGAUUAAGUUGGUGGGAGACAAAGGGGGGCAGGGGGCUGCUGAGGAACACUUGCCUGUUUUGGGACAACUGUGGGGUGAAAUCUCAAUGACUAACGUCAUACUCAUUCUCACAAAUUGUCUGCAGAUGGUUGUGGGUGAGCUGGAGAACAGGCUGACCCUAGAGACUAUGGUAUAAUGAAUUGGAAAGGGAUCAGCAAUGGGUGCAGCUCUCCCCUUUUUAUGAAUGAUUGUUGUAUAUGGGUCUCUGGCUCUCAUUCUUGACACAAUGUUGUUUGCUGUGUAGACAGAUAUUUACAAAACAAUGCAAAGAAAUUUAUUGAUAUGUACCUUUCUUUCUCCUCAGGUGUUGUCUUAGGGAGCUUCAUAGCAUCCUAUGGAAAGAAAAACAUGAUUACUCAUAUUCAGUAGUUGUCUGGGCUGUAAGAAUCUUUUGUCUGGUGCUUAGCCCUGAACAGAACCACCUCUGUGAAUCUGGGUGCAAACCAAAGUUCCUUAUUAUAUUUUCAUUCCUCCAUAUCCCCAGUACAUAUCUUGCACAUACAUACUCACCUCAAAACUUGUUCCAAACCCUAAUGUUAACUGCUAAGAUUCCUGCCUUUCUGUGAAAGAAAAAUCUGAAAGGAAAACUAACAAGAGACAGAAGAAAAAAUGCAGCUGUUCAAAGCCUGGGAAAAAAUACUUUUGGGGAGGCUACAACUUCAGGGAUUCCCGAAGGGAUGUGAAGACAUGCAAGCUAGAUCUACAACAGAAGAAAAGAAGGAUUUCUACAGCAUCCUCUUCAGGAAAGAUUCUCCAAGCUCAAGAGCCCCCUAGUGACUAUAUACCAAAGAAGCCAUGGCUGCUGAGACUGAUCCUCCUCCAGGAGCCGCUGACCUUGCUCCAACUUUCUGCACAAAAAAGUGGAGAGGCAAAGACACCAGGCUGCUGCUCUCUUUGCUGUCCUGCAUCAUGUACCUUCAGAAGACACAGAGAGAUCAUUUCUACAUGUAUGCAUACAUGUCCAUAAUUAAAAUGAAGUAAAUUUAAGGGGAAGAAAUGUUCAGACAUCCAUCUAACUUAGGUGUAUGGUGAUAGCUUACUUGAAGUGUGAAACAAAUCAAGGUAGCAACUGAAAUAUAACUAUAACACUGCACAAUUUGCUGACUAGAAGUUAUUUUCUGUCAUUCUAGGAUGUGGGCCAGCCUUCAUCAAGCAAGCAAAAAAAAAAAAAAAAAAGAGGAGGGGGAGAAAGAGUUUACUAGAGCAUCUGCUGCCAAGUGAAAUGGAAACAGAUGGAGGUGCUUCAAAGUGAAGGAGUGGACCUCUACAAGUCAGCUGAUAGCCAACUCAGAUUGACCCUCCAAAACCAUUUUUAAAAGGCAAGACAAGAGCAGACAUACUCAAUUAUGCGCUCCUUUGGAUUGAAUGGAGACAAAGAGUCCAAUCCCAAUCGGUUGAUUACCUGAAGACAAAAAAUAUAAAUUCAUAGAAUUCAUUAAACAGAUGCUGAAAAAUAAUACCUACACUGCUGCACAGGCUGGCAAAAAUGUUUCAUGACAAUCAGCUAACUUAAUUUCUGCAGCUUCUCAGAAUUCACAGAUGUUCACACACAUUAUCAGAAUGUGUAAUUCUCCACAUUCACAGACAUUAUCAGGCUCCUGGUUGCUUGUCUUUCCUCAUGCUGACCUGCAGCCUCUGGUGCAUGACACACAGAGGAAGGAAGAAGGGAUGGUGGCCUUCCUAAUGCUGCUCAGACAAUCAGGCAACUUUCCUGCUAUUUUCAAAGAGAGCUGCACUUAAUUGUUCUGUGGUUAUAAAGUCCCUAGAACAACUAUAUAAAAAUAAAUCAAAAGUAGAUUUAAAGACCUGCCUUCAGAAUUUUAGCUCUCACUCACACCAGCAAGUAAAAAAAUGUAGCCACACAUAGAUCAGCAACACCAGCUGUAACCAAGUGCUGUUCUGCAACUCACCUUGGC